Molecule: long non-coding RNA, 1327 nt
Filed under: Homo sapiens (human)
Lineage: Eukaryota; Metazoa; Chordata; Mammalia; Primates; Hominidae
Description: HSALNT0338839
Source: RNAcentral
GGGCCGUGGUGCCCUCAGGACAAUGCCCUCCGCAGGGUCCCCCCCCGCCGGCCCCUCCCUGGGCAAGGGCGGAGCUCGUUCAGCAGGAACCCCGGUGCUGGGACCUGAGCCCAGGGCCACCUGCAUCGCGGCCCAACCUGUCUGGGGCCUCGUCCUCUCUCGUGUACACACAGGAGCUCCUGGCACCCCGGAGGGCAGCCCCCAACCCUGAAACACACAGCGGCAGCGGCCUGACCUCCCCGGCACUCUCUACGUCAUGUGUCUCAGAUGGGGACCUGUGAGUCCCGGAACCUGACUCACGGGUGGUGUGUCUCUCGGGACCAAGUGGAUGUUGAGAUACCAGCCGGACAGCUAUUAUACCAAUGCAGAAAGAAGGAAAUGGUGGCUUGGGUACUAGUGCCGGGGGACGGGGGAGAGGACAUGGUUGCUUGGGCCAAAGGAUGGUGCUGAAGUGGGGAGAAGGGGUCUGAUUCCAGGUAUGUUUUGAAGGUGAAGCCAACAAGAGUUGCUGACAGAUUCAGCGUGGGGAUGAGAGGAAAGGAGAGUCUGGGCUGAGCCCAGGGUCUCGCCUAACUAGCUAGAGGGAUGAGGCCACGCUGACCCAGUGGGGAGUGGGGAAGGGCAGUGCAGGGAGGACAAUGGGGAGUUUGUUCUGAGCAUGUCCUGGCUGAGAUGCCUGCUGGACUUCAAGCUCAAGAAACCUCUUGGAUUUAAAUCUAGAGUUGAGAGGAGAGGUUGUCCUUCAGGGGUCCAUAUGAAAGCUUCAGGUGCUUCCGAGGGAUCCUCUGGCAUGACAGGUCUGAGCCCGUCUUUCCCUCUCCGGCACUGCAGGGCUCCCGCAGUUCUGCUUAGAUUCCUAGCAGCCUCUGCUCAGCCCCUCUGCGCUCACCCUGUGCUGCUUGCAAACAGACACCCUGGACUGUUGGGAUCCUUUCCUCUCCCCGGGAUCUUGUCUCUCCAAGCCCUGGCUGUGUGAGCAGUCCUGCACUCUGAUUCUCGUCUUCCUGCUGGCACGACAGUGUUGAAAGCUCCUCUGAGCUUCUCGGAUUCUCAGCAGACCUCCCUGCUCAGCUUCUCAGCAUCUCUGCUCAUGCCAGUUAUGAGUUUGCGGUUGCCCCAAAGGGUGCAGAAGUUCGGGUCACCUCAACGCGUUUCCCUCCCCCACAAUGUCUUGGGCCUUCAGGUCCUGGCUGCCUUGGUAACUCUCUGACACAUUGAGACACAUGUGGUCAUUUGUUUUCUCCAACCUGGUUGAUGGAAGCCAAAAGUGGACUCCUUUUUAUUUUUUUGUUUUUUGACAGGGUCUUUCUCUUUUGCCCAGGCUGGA